GGGGUUGUGGCUUAGCGGUAGAGCGCUUGCCUAUCAUGUAUGAGAUGCUGGGUUCGAUCUUCAGCACCACA
This 71-nucleotide transfer RNA is filed under the name Marmota monax (woodchuck). RNAcentral describes it as "tRNA.Asp". It matches the Rfam family "tRNA". Rfam says of the family: Transfer RNA (tRNA) molecules are approximately 80 nucleotides in length. Their secondary structure includes four short double-helical elements and three loops (D, anti-codon, and T loops). Further hydrogen bonds mediate the characteristic L-shaped molecular structure. tRNAs have two regions of fundamental functional importance: the anti-codon, which is responsible for specific mRNA codon recognition, and the 3' end, to which the tRNAs corresponding amino acid is attached (by aminoacyl-tRNA synthetases). tRNAs cope with the degeneracy of the genetic code in two manners: having more than one tRNA (with a specific anti-codon) for a particular amino acid; and 'wobble' base-pairing, i.e. permitting non-standard base-pairing at the 3rd anti-codon position. Lineage: Eukaryota; Metazoa; Chordata; Mammalia; Rodentia; Sciuridae. The record is from RNAcentral.